Molecule: long non-coding RNA, 1112 nt
Organism: Ictalurus punctatus (channel catfish)
Lineage: Eukaryota; Metazoa; Chordata; Actinopteri; Siluriformes; Ictaluridae
Source: Ensembl
CCAGGCGGAGCGGCGAGAAACAACGCACGGUGAGUUCCACUGCUAACUUUCUCUCUUCAUCAGUCUUGCUCGUAUGUACGAGUCUGUCCCGAGACAGCGCUAUACGCUCGAACAACGACAACACUAUAAGGGGUUCGAGUGAACAGGAAUAGUCUCAAAACUCAGGAGAAUACGGUGUUAUUGGGGCGCGCGGUUGGCGCAAAGCUAGUGAGCUAAGGUAGCUAGCAGGCGCCGCUAGUCCCGUAUAAACACACCAGUGUUUGGUUAGCAAGCUAGCGCUAGUCGGGGUUAGCAAGCUAAAACUGAGACUGGCGCUUGUUCAAAUAUGGCGGUGGAGGAUGAGAUGCCGCUACACAUUUAGCUCCAACUUUCUGUGUCGUCUUCAGUGACAUAUCUUGUGUACUUGUGUAUUGUGGUCUAAAGCGUUACCGCGAGUUCACCACUGAAGGGAACUCAAACUCGCGGUAGCUACUCUGUGUCUGAGAGAGAGAGAGAGAGAGAGAGAGAUAUCGAGCCAAGUCAGCUAGCUAGUCUGCAGUCCAUAUUGAGUUCAGCGUUAGCCUGCCAGCUAACCUAGCAAAAACUUCUUUAAGCAUUUUUGUCUACAGCUAAUCAGGUUGUAAUGUUUAAAACUUGCUUUUUUUUUUAUUAUAUAUUAAUCCUUAGAUCACUUCUCAGAGACGGCCUUGCUAGUUAUCUAUUUAGCUUAGUUUUCGGUUAUAUAGACUGAGCGUGCUCGGGUUUUAGCACAGUUACAACAGGCGGUUAAUCUUAUGCCAGUUAUUUACAUAUGGCUGUAUCAUCUUGUACUGAACCAUCCAUGAGUGAUGUGCACACACAACUCUGGCUCAUAUGCACUGAAGUUUUGUAAUGAGAGCUCAACCCAAAUCAUGGACUAAAUUGCCAAGCCAUUGAAGAUUCACCAGACAAACUCCUUAUUGGUAUUUAUUUUGGGUUUAAUCCAGUGUGUAAAUACCAGGAAGGCUCUCAAGCUCUUAGCAACCUCUCACAGUGGCAUUUCAUAAUGUUUACUGGUUACAAAGGCAGCCGAACAGAUGAUCCUGACAGCGGCCUCUCUGAUUCACUACCACCCCUUCAACUGUUCAUUACAG